GGAACUUGACUGCAUUAUAUAUAUAUGUCGGUGAGUUAUACUUUCAUGCCUGGGACGAUGGAUGAUCACAUCAUUCGAACGUAGUCACGAUCCUCGAAAUUCCAGUGUUUUAUGAACUUGUUUUGCAUAGCAACGUUUGGCAUUUUGGAAUCAGAACACUUUUGAAGAAGCUUGAAUUGACAGCAAUCGUGAAUUCGUUAAUCAUCCCUUGCAUUCAAAUAUUAUUUGUUCUAUUAUUAGAGGAAACCCUUUUGUGAAUAAUACAUCAAUUAAUUGAUAUUGAAAUUACUAUUAUUACCUUACCAAACCGGCAAUACCUAUGUCGCCCAUGAGGCGCAAUCGUUUGAAUAAAAGAAGUGGCUCUGUCGCCUCGACAUAUAUAUAGAAACAGCUUAUAUGGAAUCCACAAGCGAUGUGACACCCUGACAUUGUGGUUUUCCAAUUUUUUGCGACUGUGAAUUGAACACUUGAUUCUGCUCCGAACUCUAAAUUUUGAUUCCAGCAAUUGGCUGUUCCACGUAUCUGAUUAGGUACAAGUGACCGCAGAGCUUCACAAAGUAGUCUGGUUGCUUCCCGCGACAAUCUAAGUGCAUAAAAUUUGAAGCUAUCCAAUCAUAGACAUACAAUGGAUUUUUACAAAAUAUCUUCAACAUACACAGGCACUGAAUAGAUAACUCAUUGACGAAUGAGAUAAAAUUACGCAAUCAUUGCCAAAUUAAGAUCUAUGAUUCAACAGAGAGAUUACAGACCAAGACUCAGAGAGAGAGUAUGCAUACCCAAUUCCUAUGACAUCGUCCUAUUGAUAUAUCAAGAUCCUCCUCAGGGUUUUAUUGUAUUUCGGAAACUCACAAAUUUAUCUAAUUAAUUCAUUUCACCCGUCAACAUUUUUUGUAGUGCCAUCGAGAAGUGUAGUCUGGGAGUUUUCGUAGAAACAAGGCGAAUGCAAGUUAUGCCAACAAGAUGUAAGAGGCAGUGGCAAAACAACGAAUUUAAGCUUUCAUCUAUUGCGCUCACAUUCUUAAGUUGACAUGGGGGCUUGUUCCAUCGAGAAAAAUUUUGCACAUGGUUCGAAAAGGAAGCGAUCUGUCAGUAUAUGUUAUCUUUCGAAAAUGAAGAGGACGUGAACGACUUGCCCGAGCGAUGUUCCUCUUCAGCAUCGUCAAUUUCGACGACGUCUGUUACGGCCGAAUCAUCAAUUGCAUCUGCAUCGAAUGCAACUUUGCUCUAACAACCCAGACUAGACAUGGCUUUCUUAGAUCAAAAAUCGUUUUAAGGAUCAGAAUCAGCAGAUAUUUUACUCGGUUAAGAAGAUAUAAGGACAUCGACACCCACAGGCGAACGGUCAGGUGGAACGCGUUAACGCAACGAUAGUGGCGGCGAUCAGUGUGAACAUUAACGACGAAGACGGAAGGACUUGGGAUCGAAAACUGGACGUAAUCCAAAGUGAUCUUAACUAGAUGCGGAACGCAACGACGAGCAAGAGUCCGUUCAAACUAGUAUUCGGCUACGUGCCUCGACGAAAUGAAGGUGCCUUGCGCUUGCUCGUGGCGGAGACCGCUUCGUGUUACCGGUCACCACAGGAGUUGCAGGACGAGGCUCGAGCACGCAUCGCCCGGGCACAAGAAAAGAUGAAAGUAAGAUACGACGCAAACCGUUGUCGCGAUGUAACGAUCGGGGUAGGCAGUAUUGUCUUCAUGAAGACGGUGCCGACGCAAACUGGCGAAUCCACAAAACUACAUGCAAAGUAUCGAGAGCCGUUGGAGGUUCUCAGCUGCUUGCCUGGAGACACGUACCGUGUCGCCGAGCUCAACGUAAGAACGCGAGGACACCGGUAUGCGACGACAGCGCACGCGUCCCAAUUGAAGAUCUGGAAGCCGCAAUCUGACAACGACUCGGAGGUAGAUGACUUCGAGGAGGAAAACAGCGCGCCAGCAGCCGAAGACGAUAGCGAGGAAGAAGAGCGUACAACUUCAUCGAAUGAAAAGGGCAAUAUCAAUCUGGAUGUGGGGAAUCAAGUGACCCGUGCAGGUGUCAAAAACAAAACAAAUGAAGAAUUGUCGUCGACGUCACAAACGCGACAGUCGACUCAAAUAAAGUGCCCGCCGACCAAGUUCGAAGACUAUGUGAAUUAGGCUCUAAGGACAAUGCUCCAAUGCUGUGUUAGUGUAUCAAUAUGGACGAAUAAACGAUGUUAUUCAUUAUUUCCUUUUGUUAUGGUUGAGAGUGUUUGAAUCAUAUUUGUUACAAGAAAGCCUCUAUACUAGGAGCAACUGUGUAUGAGCGAAUGAUAACGACGGUCACAUGACGCGUGUGGAGUCAUAUGAUUUCACUCGUAUGCCACUCGAGGACGGUCGGAUGUGAGCGUGGCCGAGUGUUAAAGAUAAAGUGAAAGAGGGAGAACGCGAGCAUCACCGCUCCAAACGAAGAAGGCCUAGGUGGCGCUAUUGUACGGCCUACGUGGGCCUCUCAGUAAAUUUGAAUAAAGGCAGCCAUUUUGGUUGACCGGUAGCUCUAGGGUAGUACGUUACGGAGUAGAGCAGGUGCCAGACGUGGUCCCUCUCCCUCUCCCCCUCGUCUCUUUGUAUGUGACGCCUCGUGGCGCGGAGCCGGUUCUUGUCUAUCGCUUUUGUAUUAAUUGUGGAUGUUUGUUAUCGGUCGCGUCUCCAGGGCCCUUCUGGCCGAGUACCGACCGAACUUAAAUAUAUAUGUAUACCUGUAUCAUAGUUUCACUAUUAUAACUAUUAAUAAAUACUCCACCGCUCGUUAUUCAAACAAGGUCUGAAUAACCGCCGUUCUUCCCUUUCGCUCCCCUCAACGUCUUCCAUGCCCUGGCCAAGGUAAAAGAAGACCGAUUCAACAAUCAAAUAAAUUAUACCAACCGUUACGGUUCAGUUUCAAUUAACACGUGCAAUGGAGCCUCCGCAAAAAUUGAAAAAAAGAAAUAGCUACGAUGAAAGUGUCCCUGCAGCAGGAACUUCACCAUCAGAUUUUUCGAGCGAAUCUAUGUUUAAAUCUGUUGAUAUACUGGAUGAAUGUGGAACAGUGAGUGAGGACACGGAAAAAGAGAUAACUGGUGCAGUGUAUUAUUAUAUGGAAUUAUUGGAAAAAAUGGACAUGAUUAAUAAAACGCGAAGUACAGAAAUUUCAAAACGAUCCAAAAUUAUGGGUGAAAAGAUGGAAAAAGAAGUCAUAAACGUAAUUAGUGGUGGCGAGUUCGUUGAAGAAAUCGAAUUAUCGGCUGCAGAGGAAGAAUGCGAAUCGCAUACCGACGAUCUGCAAAUAUCACCGACAAGCAUUGAUCAUGCGAUAGAAGAGUCUUCGAGUUCUCGAGUUCAUCAGGAAAUAGUGAAGAUCAACCAGUAAUCGAUACAGUUCCAUUUGAUUUGAAGUUGAAGGCGUUCAGACUUGCGAAACGACAUCCGCAAUGGUCAAUAAAAACAUUGGCAUCGAAAACCACGCGCAAACCUACAAAUAAGAAGCAGCUCUGGCGAUGGAAAAAUCAUGUGCAGGGCGGCUGUUCAAAACUUGACAAAUAUAAAUUGAUCGACACGUGGGUAUUUAAUCGUUUUCAAGAAGCCAGAAAUGAUGCGCACUUGGUCACUACACGAACAUCGCGGCAGUGGGCAAUGGCUGCCGCGGCCCCAUUACUAUCCGAAAAUUUUUAAUUUCAAGCUUCAGACACAUGGUGCGAAUCCUCCAAGGCCAAGCUUAAAAUUCGGCAGCGCCAUGUUACCAAAUACGUCAGCUCCAAAGAAAAACGCACGUUUCAUGAAUAAUUGCGAAUCGCUGCUGAAUUUCAACAUCAAACAUCCAGUAUAAUAUCAACCUUCGAUCCUGAUGUGGUAAUUAAUACGGAUCAAACCGAGUGCGAAUAUCGCAUCAGCAGCAAACGAACGUCAUCUUUCCGAAGUGAGAAAGUCACAAAAGUUGCUGUCAGCCAGUUAAAUAAACUGACACAUUCAUAUACCGCCCAGUACGGGCUAACACUUUCCGGAGCAAUAGUAUUUAUCUGUCUUCGAGAGCCUAAUAGCAAAUUCGGUCCUCGAGUACAACAAAAGGUGACGCAGAUGAUGGAAAAAUAUCAGAACGUCUAUAUAACCGCCACAAAAUCUGAAAAACUGACGAGAUACGUACAAUCUCUUUUUGGAUAAAGUUCUACAACCUUAUGUAAAACCGGAACCAGUUUUGUUUGUAAUUGAUUCGUGGGGUGGACAAAGCGACAUCUUCUUGUAUGAUGGAAAAUUCGUGGAUGAGGACGGAAUGCCAACUUGUUCAUUGUAGGUGAUACCUCCGAACUGUACUCCGCUAUGCCAGCCGUGUGACGUAUACUUUUACAGGCAGGUAAAAAACUGUAUUCGACAUCUCCAAAACUGCCCCGUCCCGAUUGCACAGCGGAGAGAAAUCACAAGCAGACGCGACGCAAUGAAAAUACACUCCCUGGUCCACAAUCAAUUGCGGGUACCAGCAUUUGAAAAAAUGAUUCGGUACGCAUGGUUCGCCGCAAAAUUAUCGGCGGAUCGCGCGGUUUUCAAUAACGUCAACGGCAUUGCGUUUCCGGACGACGUUCACACCCAGAACUGUGAUUGCGGCCAAAGUGUCUUCGCGGGUUGCUCCUGGUGCAGAGAAUAUUUGUUUUGAAUGUUACUAUGAUAGGUACCAUCCCGACGAAUGCGCUACAUAUUGUUGAAUUAUUCGAGCGAUGAUGUAAUAAUAAACAUGAAAAUUAAGCCACUCGCUGCUAUCCAUUUGUUAUUCGUAUUGUAAUUGUAAUAAUUGUAUUUUAAAUACAGCGUC
Long non-coding RNA from Athalia rosae (coleseed sawfly), 4794 nucleotides. RefSeq lists it as uncharacterized. Lineage: Eukaryota; Metazoa; Arthropoda; Insecta; Hymenoptera; Athaliidae. The record is from RefSeq and is a predicted model, not a curated record. The transcript has 4 exons.